AUGGUGGUAGUAUAACCAUGUACAAUUGCCUUCCAAGCAGAAAGUCCUAAGGGCCAUCAUA
Molecule: transfer RNA, 61 nt
Filed under: Pyganodon grandis (giant floater mussel)
Lineage: Eukaryota; Metazoa; Mollusca; Bivalvia; Unionida; Unionidae
Description: tRNA-Gly
Source: RNAcentral